ACUUUAUAGUUUUAAAGUACUUUUUGUUGGAACUAUGCAUAGAAGAUUAGCAUUGCCUCAGUGCAAUGAUGACAUACAAAUUUAUAAAGCAUCCCAUAACUUU
RNAcentral lists this small nuclear RNA (103 nucleotides) under Callithrix jacchus (white-tufted-ear marmoset). The record is from RNAcentral. Lineage: Eukaryota; Metazoa; Chordata; Mammalia; Primates; Cebidae.